AAUAUAUUUUGUAACGAAAAAUAUCAAGAUCAAUGAUGCAUUACUAUAUUGGCUGGUUGUCAGAAAAAUGAUAAAAGAAUUGUAACAUCAAACGUCAAGAAAAUUAAAAAAUCUGAAACGUCCAAACAUGAUAUCACUCCGAAAAAAUUUUGCACAAGAAAUGCGAUACAUAAAACCGGUUUUUGACACUGGUUUAUUCGUGGUUUUACAGAUUAAUCAUCAAUGUGCAACACGUCUUAAAUCGAAUUACAAAAAAUAGACUGAACCGGUUUGAAUUUUUCAUUAAAAAUUAGUAUUAGCAUGUGGGUACCGGUUAGGAUUAUGUAUCACAAGAACCAUAAUGCGUAGUUUAGAGUAAUAGCGCAUCGAUUGUGAGGCGGCAAGGCGCGUGCCACUACUCUCCCUA
Molecule: non-coding RNA, 406 nt
Organism: Cinara cedri
Lineage: Eukaryota; Metazoa; Arthropoda; Insecta; Hemiptera; Aphididae
Source: the annotation of a GenBank genome assembly